GACAGUGUCUGGUGGGUAGUUUGACUGGGGCGGUCUCCUCCUAAAGAGUAACGGAGGAGCACGAAGGUUGGCUAAUCCUGGUCGGACAUCAGGAGGUUAGUGCAAUGGCAUAAGCCAGCUUGACUGCGAGCGUGACGGCGCGAGCAGGUGCGAAAGCAGGUCAUAGUGAUCCGGUGGUUCUGAAUGGAAGGGCCAUCGCUCAACGGAUAAAAGGUACUCCGGGGAUAACAGGCUGAUACCGCCCAAGAGUUCAUAUCGACGGCGGUGUUUGGCACCUCGAUGUCGGCUCAUCACAUCCUGGGGCUGAAGUAGGUCCCAAGGGUAUGGCUGUUCGCCAUUUAAAGUGGUACGCGAGCUGGGUUUAGAACGUCGUGAGACAGUUCGGUCCCUAUCUGCCGUGGGCGCUGGAGAACUGAGGGGGGCUGCUCCUAGUACGAGAGGACCGGAGUGGACGCAUCACUGGUGUUCGGGUUGUCAUGCCAAUGGCACUGCCCGGUAGCUAAAUGCGGAAGAGAUAAGUGCUGAAAGCAUCUAAGCACGAAACUUGCCCCGAGAUGAGUUCUCCCUGAGACUUAGAGUCUCCUGAAGGAACGUUGAAGACGACGACGUUGAUAGGCCGGGUGUGUAAGCGCAGCGAUGCGUUGAGCUAACCGGUACUAAUGAACCGUGAGGCUUAACCUUACAACGCCGAAG
Molecule: ribosomal RNA, 693 nt
Filed under: Salmonella enterica
Lineage: Bacteria; Pseudomonadati; Pseudomonadota; Gammaproteobacteria; Enterobacterales; Enterobacteriaceae
Also listed under: 1 other name
Description: partial 23S ribosomal RNA
Rfam family: Bacterial large subunit ribosomal RNA
Source: RNAcentral